Molecule: long non-coding RNA, 300 nt
Organism: Sapajus apella (tufted capuchin)
Lineage: Eukaryota; Metazoa; Chordata; Mammalia; Primates; Cebidae
Exons: 2
Source: RefSeq, a predicted model, not a curated record
AGAUAGAACAUGAUGAUUUCAUAGAGUGUAUACGUCGAACAAAAACGGUAAGGAAGUGAUGGAGAUGAGACGUAUGGAUACCAUCUGGAGGCAACGGGAAAAACUGAUGAAGGAAGGGAAGUACACCCCUCCGCCUCACCACAUGGGCAAGGGGGAGCCUCGGCCCUGAGCAGACACAGCUACUGAUAUCUGGAGGCCGAUUUUCAUGUUCUCUGUUCUCCACUGGAAAGGUUUAUGGAAAACCUCCUUGUCAAAGUGUUUAAAAAUAAAGUAUUGCUCCAUCCUAUUUCUUCUAUUUUC